This 267-nucleotide ribosomal RNA is filed under the name Pseudomonas putida. RNAcentral's name for it is "partial 16S ribosomal RNA". It matches the Rfam family "Bacterial small subunit ribosomal RNA", at positions 1163 to 1429 of the family's 1533-position model. The record is from RNAcentral. Lineage: Bacteria; Pseudomonadati; Pseudomonadota; Gammaproteobacteria; Pseudomonadales; Pseudomonadaceae.
UGGAGGGAAGGUGGGGAUGACGUCAAGUCAUCAUGGCCCUUAAGGCCUGGGCUACACACGUGCUACAAUGGUCGGUACAGAGGGUCGCCAAGCCGCGAGGUGGAGCUAAUCUCACAAAACCGAUCGUAGUCCGGAUCGCAGUCUGUGACUCGACUGCGUGAAGUCGGAAUCGCUAGUAAUCGCGAAUCAGAAUGUCGCGGUGAAUACGUUCCCGGGCCUUGUACACACCGCCCAUCACACCAUGGGAGUGGGUUGCACCAGAAGUAG